UCAGCUCUGUUUGAACCAAAUUAGCAAAUCGUUCAAAAAAUAUAUCUAAUCAAAAAUUGUCUAAAUCAGUCCAAACAAAAGAAAAUAAAACUGUUAUUAUACCCCUAUCCUUUAAAAUGCACGACUGAUGACAAUUUUAAGAAUUGAAAAAAUCUUAUAGGGAAAAUAAUUUCGUGAGUGUUUUGAGUUAUUAGACUGAAAUUCGCCAGAAUUUAUUCGUUU
Molecule: non-coding RNA, 222 nt
Organism: Cinara cedri
Lineage: Eukaryota; Metazoa; Arthropoda; Insecta; Hemiptera; Aphididae
Source: the annotation of a GenBank genome assembly